UAUUCCAUCUGGCAGCUCAGCGCAGUUAGGAGAGAGGCGGACUUGUUUGUAGUGCAAUUAAGCGUGUCCUUGGUGAAGCCUAAGUUAAGAGAAGGCUCGGAUACAAGGAGCACGUUAAAGGACAGGAUUGGCCCGAACUUUUGAACUGUCUUCUGGGACAGGCCUGGACUCUCGUCUCGAGUCCACCCGGACCUGAACCCCAGCCAUCAGCGAAGUCGUAGGUCUGAGCAGUCAUGUUGCUUAUUUAUCGAGGAUGAGCUGAUGUGGACCAGAGAGAAUGCUGUUCUCUAAGACAGCUUCCUGGACUCAGUGACCUUCGCUGAUGUGGCUGUGUACUUCACCCAGGAAGAGUGGACUUUACUGAACCCCUUUCAGAGAAAGCUAUAUAGAAAUGUGAUGCUGGAAAACUGCAAGAACCUGACCACAGCAGGAUAUAAGCAUUCAAACCAAAUCUAAUAUCUUGGUUGGAAAAUAAGAGUUGAAGACUGUGGAGAGACAGAUCCUCCAAGGUGCGAGAUUAUAAAGAACUUCCCAGGGCAAUUAAAUUUCAGUAUGUUUUGAGUUUAUAAGAAGGAAACUUAGUGAGAUGUGUUUUCCUUCAGAAGGCUGAGGACAUUGGUUUCUAAUGCUCUGUAACUUCCUCAACAUCUUAUACAAUGGGAAAUGCACAUCCAAUGGCUUGGAAAUUCAGCAGGAUAUUUUGUGGGAAAAAACAUCAAAUAGGGUACAAAUGGUAUGAUCAACACAAAGUCACAAUGGACAGGAACUGUAUGACUGUGAGCAAAAUAAGAAAGACAUUGGUGACCACUUUUACCUUAGGAUACACAGGAGCACUGAAAACAGAAGGAAUUUUUAUGAAGAUAAUCAGUAUGGAAAGAGCUUCCAUACUCUACACAAUAAACCCUUUACUGGGGAAAAUCCUCCAUGUUUAAUCAGUGUGGAAAAGCUGUCAGGCUGACUCCAGAUAUUACACAUAUGAGAACACACACUGGAGAGAAACCUUUUUAAGUGUGACAAAGCUUUUAGGUUGUUCUCAUUGCUUCAUGUUCACCGUCGAUUUCACACUGGAAUGUGGGAAGGACUUUGCUGUAUCCUCAAACCUCACUGGACAUAUGAAAACUCACACUAGAAAGCAACCCUAUAAAUGUAAAGAAUGUGGGAGAGACUUUCAUCGAUCCUCAGACCUCACUGGACGUCUGAAAACUCACACUGGAGAGAAACCCUAUGAAUGUAAGGAAUGUGGGAAAGCUUUUGGGUCAUCGUCAUACCUUCAUGUUCACAGUCAAAUUCACACUGGAAUAAAAGCUUACAAAUAUCAAGAAUGUGGGAAAACCUUUACUUUCCCCUCUCGCCUUAUUGAACAUAUGAAAACGCACACUGGUGAGAAGCCUUUUAAGUGACAAGGCAUGUGGGAAAGUCUUUGCAUCUUCUCAUAAUCUUCUUAGACAUUUACGAUCUCAUACAAGGCAGAAGACUGCACAUUUAGUGCCAGAUGUGGGAAAGCCUUCACUUGUUCUUCACUAGUUACUCAACAUAUGAGAACAUACACUGGAGAGAAGCCUUAUAAGUGUAAUGCAUGUGGGAAAGCCUUUGGGUUUUCCAGUAAUCUUCUUAGACAUUUACAAUCCCAUACUGGGCAGAAGACUGCUAAAUGUGACAGAUGUGGGAAAACUUUCAAGUCUCAGUUCUUACUCAACAUAUGAGAACACACACUGGAGAGAAACCUUUUAAGUGUGACACAUGUGAAAAAGCCUUUAGGUUGUUUUCAUAUCUUCAUGUUCACUGUCGAUUUCACAAUGGAAUAAAACCUUACAAAUGUAAGGAAUGUGGGAAAGACUUCUCUGUAUCCUCACACCUCACUGGACAUAUGAAAACUAAUACUAGAAAGCAACCCUAUAAAUGUAAAGAAUGUGGGAAAGACUUCUCUGUAUCCUCACACCUCACUGCACAUAUGAAAACUAAUACUAGAAAGCAACCCUAUAAAUGUAAAGAAUGUGGGAAAGACUUUCAUCGAUCCUCAGACCUCAUUGGACAUAUGAAAACUCACACUGGAAAGAAACCCUAUGAAUGUAAGGAAUGUGGGAAAGCCUUUGGAGCGUCCUCACACCUGCAUGUUCACAGUUGAAUUCACUCUGGAAUAAAACCUUACAAAUGUCAGGAAUGUGGGAAAACCUUCACUCUCCCUUCACACCUUUUUGAACAUAUGAACACUUAUGUUGGAGAGCGACCCUAUAAAUGUAAGGAAUGUGGGGAAGCUUUUGGAUCAUCAUCACACCUUUAUGUUCACAGUCAAAUUCACACUGGAAUAAAACCUUACAAAUGUCAAGAAUGUGGGAAAACCUUCACUUGCCCCUCUCGCCUUAUUAUACAUUUGAAAAUGCACACUGGAGAGAAUCCUUUUAAGUGUGACACAUGUGGGAAAGGCUUUGUGUCUUCUCGUAAUCUUUAGACAUUUAUGAUCUCAUACUAGGCAGAAGACUGCUAAAUGUGACAGAUGUGGGAAAGCAUUCGCUCGAUCCUCACAAGUUACUCAGCAUAUGAGAACACACACUGGAGAGAAGCCUUAUAAGUGUAAUGCAUGUGGGAAAACCUUUUGAUUUUCCAGUAAUCUUCUUAGUCAUUUAUGAUCUCAUACUGGGCAGAAGACUGCUAAAUGUGACAGAUGUGGGAAAGUCUUCACGCAAGUCUGAGUUCUUACUAGACAUAUGAAAACACACAUGGGAGAGAAGCUUUUUAAGUGUGACACAUGUGGAAAAACCUUCACUCUAUCCUCAUACCUUACUCAACAUAUGAAAACACACACUGGAGAGAAGAUUUAUAAGUGUGACAUGUGGGAAGGUCUUCACUCGAUGCUCAUACCUUACUAAACAUAUGGAAAGACACACUGGAGAGAAGCUUUGUAAGUGUGACACAUGUGGAAAGGCCUCCACUGAAUGCUCAGGCCUUACUCGACAUAUGACAACACACAUGGGAGAGAAGCCUUUUAAGUGUGACAAAUGUGGGAAGGCUUUUGCUGAUUCCUCAUGUCUUACUAAACAUUUUAGAAUGCACACUGGAGAGAAGCCUUUUGAUUAAUAUACAUGGGAAAACAUUUACCACUUCUUUGCCUGUUACUGCACACAAGCGAAGUCACACUGGAGAGAAACCAUAUUUGUGUAAGGAACGUGGGUAAACCUUUUUUUCUCCUCAGUGCUUACUUUCUAUAGACAAUGACAUUGGAAAAAAAGCCACUGAAAUGUGACAAAUGUGGGAAAGCUCUUGCUGAUUCCUCCUAUCAUACUUAACAUUUUAUUUUUAAUAUUUGACUGCAUCUGCAGCAGAUGAGACCUUAGUUCUCUGACCAAGGAUCAAACCCAUGCCCCCUGCAUUGGAAGGCAGAGUCUUGACCACUGGACAACCAGGGAGGUCCCAUACUAAACAUUUUUGAACUCAACAUAGAAUACUUUUGAGUGUAAUAAAUUUCGGACAAGACUCGCCAAUUCUUCACUCUUUAUCAUUCACAAGUGUAUCAACACUGGAUAGAAACCCCAUAAAUUUCAGGAUUUGGAAAUCAAUUUUAUCAUUCUUAUCUCAAAGGAAAAAGAUCUAAUAAUGGUGUAAAGGAAUAUGAAGGAAAAAGAAACUACGGUCUAACAGCACCACCAAAGAAGGUGGUGUUAUGUAUGUGGUACGAUUGGAAGGGAGUCGUCUUUUGAGCUCCAUGUGAAAAGCCAAAUGGUUAAUUCUAAAAAGUACUGCUCCCAAUUAGAGCAACUGGAAGUAACACUUGAUAAAAGCAUCCAGAAUUAGUCAACAGGAAACACACAAUCUUCCAUCAAGAUAACUAACGCAAGACCACAUGUUUCUUUGAUGACUAGGCCAAAACUGGUACAGCUUGGUUGGGAAGUUCUGAUUGACCCAUUGUAUUCACCAGACAUUGCACGUUUGGAUGCCCAUUUAUUUCAGUCUGUAUCAAAUUCUCUUGAUGGAAAAAAAUUCCAUUCCCUGGAAGACUGUAACAGGUACCUAGAACAAUCCUAUGUUCUAAAAGACAAAAAGAUGGAAUUGUAAAGUUGCCUGAAGAAAUGGCAGAAGGUAGUGGAUCAAAAUGGUGAAUAUGUUGUUCAGUGAAGUUCUCGGUGAAAAUGAUAAUUGUAUUUGCUUUAAAAGCACAGGAAACUUUUGGCCAACCCAAUAUUUUGGAUGGAGUUGCACUCACUGAAAAUUUCUAUGUUGGUGUCUUAAUCCCAGUGCCUCAGAUUGUGAUUUUAUUCAGAGAAAGUGGCUUUAAAAAGAGGUAAGUAAUUUUAAAAUGAGGUCAUUAGGGUGCACGCUAAUGCAAUCUCACUGCUGCCCUUAUAGGAAAAGAAGAUUAGGAAAUACAGAGAAACUAGGGCACACGUGCUCUGUGGAAUGACCAUAUGCAGAGGCAGUGAUAGGAUGUUUAUAUUCAAUCCAAGGAGACAUACCUGAGAGGAAACUUUGGCAGCCCCAGCAAACUAAUAAUGGCACCAAUGCAAAAAUCCUCCUGCCCCAACAUUUAUUUGGGCCAUGCUGCUGUAAUUAUUUAAAUGAAAGCAGUGACAAACUUUGCCCAGCUCCAAGUAGACAGCACCUUGCCAUAGGCCCAUGCUAAAUACCUCCUGCUUCUUGCCCUGAAGCUUGUCUGACACCAUACUAUAGGACAUCUGAGGGAAUCUGCUCUGUAUUCAGACAUGUGCAACUCAGAAAGUUGGUGAUGGGCCUUCCCUGGAGGUCCAGUGGUUAAGACUGCUUUUCCAAUGCAGAGCGUGCAGGUUUGAGCCCCUGGUCAAGGAAUUGAGAUCCCUCCACAUACCAAGUAGCACAACCAAAAAGGGGGAAAAAAGAAAUAUGAGGAUGCUAAUCCCUCCUGGAUAUACUUGUUCAGCAGAAGAUGUGCACUGAAGUUUUUUUCAUUUACUGAGUGGAAAUUUCUGAGACACAUAUCAUAUUGUACGUAAGAAGGACCUGGUGGGAUUGAACAACAGUCACCAAAGAAAUCAAGAUUAUGAUUAUUUAGAUUGGUUUGGUUUUUCUUCCUUCUCUAGAAGAUAAUAUUGUAUAUUCUGUGUCUCUGGAGGACCCUAGCAUAAUACACAAGAAGAAUGAAUACAUACAUGUAUUUUUCACAGAAGCAUUACUCAUAACAUGUACAAACUGGAAACAACCCAAAGGUUCAUCAACUGAUGAGUAAAUAAAACAUAAUGUAUUCAUAGUAUGGACUAUCAAUCUGCAAUACAGAGAAAUGAUAGAUCCUCCAGCACAUAUUGAACCUGAAUAUAAAAUGAAAAAUUAAAUAAUUUACUUUAUUCACAUUAAAUAUCUAGGAAAAACAAAUCUCUAGAGAGAGUAGAAUCAUGAAAGCUUGGAUGUUAUGUAGGGAUAUGGGUGUAUAACAACAAAGGUGUACUUUAUAGUGGAACCAAAUUCCAUUCUGUUUUUGAAAUGGAGCAGGACCAUAUGGUCCUUGUCCCCCCACCCCCACCAUAUCCUCUGCAUGCCUUUUGCCUGUGGAAGACUUUAAUCAAAGAAUAAGUUUAAUCAGAGAAGUGAGAAAACAGAGAAACAAAAACAGUCUAAGCAGACUAAAUAAUUAAUGACCUAGGCAUUAAUGACCUAAUCAUUAAGUAUAGUCAAGGACCUUUAGUUCUUUCUCAAGGGCUAUAGAUAAUAUUCUGAGCUAUAUCCUGUGAGCUGUCUUAUAGAUACCAAAACACCAGGUGGAGAAGUUAACUACAUGAUGACCAGACUGUACCCAGGACUUAAGCAGCUACAAUUCCAGAAAUUGACCUCAAAGAUAUGGGAACAAGUACACCCCAGAACUGAAGAUUAACUGUACCUAAAAACAACCAAGAUGAUGCUAGUCAGACCACUGAUGACCAAUUGAAGAUGACUGUUAAAGAUGACUGUGCUGUUUCUGCAUGUACCACCCACCCCCCAACUCUGUCUAUAAAAGCUCUCACUCCCUGUUUGUGGGGAGGGGUGUCAGCCUUUGGACAAAUGCCUGCCAUUGUCCCCCCACAGUUUCUGGCAUCUGAAAUAAAGCACACUUUCCUUUCGACCAA
Dama dama (fallow deer) is the source of this 6065-nucleotide RNA transcript. It is a transcript of the gene named zinc finger protein 568-like, with no coding region annotated. The transcript has 7 exons. Lineage: Eukaryota; Metazoa; Chordata; Mammalia; Artiodactyla; Cervidae. The record is from RefSeq and is a predicted model, not a curated record.